This 253-nucleotide ribosomal RNA is filed under the name uncultured bacterium. RNAcentral describes it as "partial 16S ribosomal RNA". It matches the Rfam family "Bacterial small subunit ribosomal RNA", at positions 524 to 776 of the family's 1533-position model. The record is from RNAcentral.
UACGUAGGGUGCAGGCGUUGUCCGGAAUUAUUGGGCGUAAAGAGCUCGUAGGCGGUCUGUCGCGUCUGCUGUGAAAACUCGGGGCUUAACCCCGGGCCUGCAGUGGGUACGGGCAGACUAGAGUGCGGUAGGGGAGACUGGAAUUCCUGGUGUAGCGGUGAAAUGCGCAGAUAUCAGGAGGAACACCAAUUGCGAAGGCAGCUCGCUGGGACGUAACUGACGCUGAGACGCGAAAGCGUGGGGAGCAAACAGG